This 104-nucleotide small RNA is filed under the name Escherichia coli. RNAcentral's name for it is "partial RtT sRNA". It matches the Rfam family "RtT RNA", at positions 1 to 102 of the family's 130-position model. Rfam says of the family: This family represents a bacterial cis-regulatory element known as RtT RNA. The exact function of RtT is unknown although it is thought that it may be involved in changing the cellular response in relation to amino acid starvation. The record is from RNAcentral. Lineage: Bacteria; Pseudomonadati; Pseudomonadota; Gammaproteobacteria; Enterobacterales; Enterobacteriaceae.
AUUCUGCCCAAGCGGGGAAGAAUGAGAAGCUUCGACCAAGGUUCGACUUGAGCGCCAGCGAGAGAGCGUUGCCGCAGGCAACGACCCGAAGGGCGAAGCGCGCA